GGAAGUUAAGAAAAUGUUUUUUAACUUUUAACUAAAAAAAGUAAGAACCGGUUCUUAAAUAAGGAUUUUAAGAACCGGUUCUUACUUUUUUUAGUUAGAAGUUAAGAAACAUUUUCUUAACUUCC
Molecule: non-coding RNA, 125 nt
Organism: Brassica napus (rape)
Lineage: Eukaryota; Viridiplantae; Streptophyta; Magnoliopsida; Brassicales; Brassicaceae
Source: Rfam